Pelobates cultripes (western spadefoot toad) is the source of this 223-nucleotide non-coding RNA. NCBI's taxonomy places the organism in Eukaryota, Metazoa, Chordata, Amphibia, Anura, Pelobatidae. The record is from the annotation of a GenBank genome assembly.
UAGAUAUUUAGGCACAGUUAGUUAUGCUGGUGUUUUCAAUAAUGAAUUUUCUUUAACCAUCAAGUCCUCAUGGUGAGAUUCCACAGUAAGAUGUCAAAGGCAACAAUCACAUACUGCCACGAAACAAAGCAAUGAAACACAUUAUUCAACAUUUUAAUGUCUGGUAUGGCUGGUAUGGAAUAAAUCAUCUCCAUAUUGAAACAGCGCAGUGGCAGGGUUGUGA